Molecule: ribosomal RNA, 275 nt
Filed under: uncultured bacterium
Lineage: Bacteria
Description: partial 16S ribosomal RNA
Rfam family: Bacterial small subunit ribosomal RNA
Source: RNAcentral
CCUACGGGUGGCUGCAGUGGGGAAUUUUGGACAAUGGGCGCAAGCCUGAUCCAGCCAUGCCGCGUGAGGGAAGAAGGCCUUCGGGUUGUAAACCUCUUUCGGCCGGGACGAAAUCGGCGGGGUGAAUAAUCCCGCUGGAUGACGGUACCGGAAGAAGAAGCACCGGCUAACUACGUGCCAGCAGCCGCGGUAAUACGUAGGGUGCGAGCGUUAAUCGGAAUUACUGGGCGUAAAGCGUGCGCAGGCGGUUAUUUAAGCCAGACGUGAAAUCCCCG